GCUGGGUGUGGUGGUGCGUGCCUGUAGUCUUAGCUACUGGGGAGGCUGAGGCGGGAGGAUCACUUGAGUCCAGGAGUUCAAGGCUGUAGUGAGCUAUGAUUGUGCCACUGCACUUCAGCCUGGAUGACAGAGUGAGACCCUGUCUCAA
Molecule: signal recognition particle RNA, 148 nt
Filed under: Pan paniscus (pygmy chimpanzee)
Lineage: Eukaryota; Metazoa; Chordata; Mammalia; Primates; Hominidae
Also listed under: 1 other name
Description: Metazoan signal recognition particle RNA
Rfam family: Metazoan signal recognition particle RNA
About the family: The signal recognition particle (SRP) is a universally conserved ribonucleoprotein. It is involved in the co-translational targeting of proteins to membranes. The eukaryotic SRP consists of a 300-nucleotide 7S RNA and six proteins: SRPs 72, 68, 54, 19, 14, and 9.
Source: Rfam by way of RNAcentral